ACACGACUACAUUAGAUACCGGGUAGUCCUAGCCGUAAACGAUACUCGCUAGGUGUCGGCCACGGUGCGACCGUUGUCGGUGCCGUAGGGAAGCCGUGAAGCGAGCCACCUGGGAAGUACGGCCGCAAGGCUGAAACUUAAAGGAAUUGGCGGGGGAGCACCACAACGGGUGGAGCUUGCGGUUUAAUUGGAUUCAACGCCGGAAAUCUUACCGGGACCGACAGCAACAUGAAGGCCAGGCUGAAGACUUUGCCGGAUUAGCUG
Molecule: ribosomal RNA, 264 nt
Filed under: uncultured archaeon
Lineage: Archaea
Description: partial 16S ribosomal RNA
Rfam family: Archaeal small subunit ribosomal RNA
Source: RNAcentral